UCGAAUUGGCCUCAACUUGAGUCGAAUCUAACCAAAAUAAGAAUCACGACGUUAAAAUAUGCUAAGGGAACGAAGCCCUAUGCGAAAAUAAUCAAUUUACAACAUAAAUCCCGAAUUUAACCAAAACCCGACCCCCUGGCCCACGUCUAAGAAUUCGAUAAAAUUUACAUCAAUAGAUUCCUCAUCUCCCCACGAGUUCAUACAUAUCAAAAGUCGCAAAAUCCUACCACAAAUGGCCCCUAAAAUCCCCAAGUCAAGGUAUCCAAUACCAAACCCUAGUUUUCCAAAUUUUUAACCCUUAAUUUCCAUAAUUACAAGCCUAAUCGGUGAAAUAAUUCCAUAGAAUCGAUUAUUAGGUUCAAAAAUCUUACCUCCAGACGUUAUCCUUUGAAUCCCUCUUCAAAAUCUCCCAAAAAGCUCCAAAACCGACUUGAAAUGGUGGAGAACAACUCAAAAAUCACAAAGGAAUUCUUUUAUACCUUCUGGCCUAGGAUUUUCGCACCUGCGACCUAAAUCCCGCUUCUGCGGCCUAAUCAACCGCAUUUGCGAUUUUCACUUAAAUGGCCAUUUUCGCAUCUGCAGUUAAAAACCUCGCACUUGCGCUACCGCAGGUGCGCCCACUUCACCGCUUCUGCGGUUCCUGAUGAUCUUCUUCUUGGACACAUCUGUGGCUGCCUUCCGCUUCUGCGAGCAUCGCACCGGCGGCCUCCCAACCGCAUGUGUGGUUAUAACAGCAACAAAAUGCUUCAGCUAUCCCAACUCAACUUCAAACCUUCCGCCAAUCAUCCGAAAUCACCCCGAGGCCCCCAGGACCUCAACCAAAAGCAUAAACCAAUCAUAUACCACUACCCAAACUUAUACCAAUCUUUGAAACACCUCAAACAACAUCUAAUCCAUCAAAUCACAUCGAAUUCAAGCCUAAGGUUCCAAAAUCUUCUGAAUUCUGCUUUUGAUCAAAAAGUCUACCAAACCAUGUCCGAAUGACCUGAAAUCUUGCACACACAUCCCAAAUGACACAACAGACCUACUGCAACUCCUGAAAUUCCAUUCCGAUCACUAUAUCAAAAUCUCACUUAUAAACCGGAAAACGUCGAAAUUCUAAUUUCGCCAAUUCAAGCCUAAACCUUCCACGGACCUCCAAAAUACAUUUCGAUCACGCGGUGCAAAAGUCAUAAUACAUUACACGAGGCUAGUCAUGCUCGAGAACUGGUGAGCGAAGUGCAAAAGCUCAAAACGACCGGUCGAGUCGUUAUAUUCUCCCCCACUUAAACAUAUGUUCGUCCUCGAACGUGCCUAGAGUUGUUCCGAAAGCCAUUAAAUCAUUGUGUAACCUUACCAUGCACAUGCCUGGGGGUGAUCCCACGUCACCCUAUCUCAUAUAGGUCCGAUAAUACAAUGUAACUAAAAUUUUGCAAUCCAACCUAGCCCAUAAACCCUAGAACCACAUUUCCACUUCUGAAAUCACCCACAAGAGUAGAAUCCCACAUUUAUACCCUGAAUAAGCCCGAACAAGCUAUAACAAACCAUACCUACAACCUCAUAUGCAAUUACAUGAUGUACUACAUAACUCAAACACUCGUGGCGAUAACCUCUAAUUGUAGUAGUUGCUCAAAACACCCGAAUAUUGAUAAUAAGCCUCUUAUCCAAUAAAGCCUCAUUCCAACACUCCCGUAUACUGCCAAUGAUAAAAGAAACACGUAAAAAGUCGUAACCAUUCCUCAUAUCAACCAUUAGUGAAGCCACUUCUCUCUUGACAAUGACCAUAGACAUUUCUAAGCCUAACAUCGAUAUUAUCCUUCCAACACGCUGAAACCGAAUCCGUUUGUAUUCCUCAGAGAUCCCAACGAUCUCAUCUAAUCCAACACUACUACUCUGGUGACAUGUCACAUCAAUACCAUCUAAAGCCGCAACUCGUGCAAUCCGCACACCAAUAGGCAACAAUCCAAACGUACUCAAAUCAUGAAAAUGACUCAAAUGAGUGAGAUGUAUCGUAACCUCACCAGUACCACCAUACACAAUGCUGAGAACUCGCCACACAUCUUAGCACCAGAACACACGAAUCUAACCCGAAGGGUCAUACCUCCACAUAACUUCGCUGCAAUGCGCGAUCCUAUCCGAACACUGGUUCACGUGAAACACCUCAAGUCACUAUGCUCAAAUUCGACAACCACGCACAAAUUUAUUGUCUAAAACCAAAGCAAAUCAUCAUAACCAUGGCAAAGCAAUUGACAUAACAUUACACAUCCCGAAAGGACAAAACCAAUACGCCAUCCACCGAGCAAUACCCAAUACUCUUCCCGCUCGAAUUCCACUAUGAAACCCCAAUAAGACCACACCAUAUGUGCCUAUAAUUAACAAAUCAUAACGCCUCGCAACACAGGAAAGUAACUCAUGGAUCACCUUAGAACACUAAUAGCUCAAUAAUAACCGAAUAACCACAUCCCUCGACAAUAGCAACUCGAAGUCAACAAAGCUGACUCGAUGUAGAACACACAUCCAUUCUGAUCUGCCAAUGAACCCCUUACCAAGAGUUCCUAACGCUUCUCCUUCAACUCCUUUAACUCCGCCAGUGCCAUACGAUACGGUGCCCGACACCAAAUCAAUACCGAAAUCAACAACCCUGUCCGGUGACAUACCGGCCGCAAGAAACACAUCCGAAAAAUCCCUCACCACCGGAACUGAAUCAAUGGUAGGAGUCUUUGCACUGACAUCCGUCACGAAGGCCCAAAUAAGAAGACAAUCCUUCCCAGCCAUCCGUUGGGUCUUCAAAAUGAAAUCACCCUACUGAAAACAUAAUCCGUCGAACUUCGCCACUCAAUCUGUGGCAUCCCCGGCAUAACCAACGUGCCAUCUUAGCAUAACAACCCAGAAUAACACAACAGUGAGACAACUAGUCUAUACCCAAUAUCACAUCCAAAAUCUAACAUACCAAGCAAUAAAGAUCCACUCGGGUCUCCAAACCUCCAAUAGUUACUACACAAGACCGAUAUACGCGGUCCACAACCACGACCUAACCUGUCCACGAGAACUCCCAGUCUCCAAAUCCAUACAGCAGGCGAAUCACCAUAUCUGAUCCCACAUCCACAGUCUAAAUACACAACACACCUCUAACACCCAAUUCUCUCACUAGAGGUACUCCAAAAAUUCUUCUGUGCCAACAAGUAAACUCGAAUAUCAGUCAUCGAUCCAAUAAGAGAGCGCCGCAAUACUAAUGAAGUAUCAUUAACUCAAUCACAUUGUACUUUUUUUGAAACGUAUACCCUCAUCAAGCCACAUCAAUUAGUAAUAUCAUUUCCCUAAUCAUCUGAACCGUCCAUGCCACCUAAGAAUUUGUGACCUCCCUUUCAAAACUGAAUCGUGACCUUACACAUGCAAAUCUCAACCCUACACAACAUACCGCAUAUACCAUACCAUCCUAGGAUGAAUAUGAGAACUUCAUACCCCUUCCGAGCCACAAGCAGCUACGUACUCAACUAGCCAAGAACUUUCCAUUGAUCCCAUCUAGAAGAAAAUCACUACACAUCCUCUGCUUCUCACGCUCGUAGAAAAUAUGCAUCUCUAACCGUGGCAGAAACCAUCAAGAACUCUUUGAAUUCCAUUUGCACAACACAAAACCAUCAGGACUGAAUCCUUCUAACUCAACCAAGCUACGCAGAUCACUAAAACUCAAGAGCAUUGUUGUGAAACACCUAUAGGAACUUUUUACCUUAUAAGCACCCAAAGAACUCAUCAUAUCCUUUCCCAUGCCGAUCCGACCUACUACCAAGCUAUCCCAUUUAUACAAGUUCCUCCGAAUUUACCUUCAACUUGAUACUUCUUCUCGUUAUCACAUCAAAAUCCUCGACCCAGACUCACCACAUGAGACUCGAGCAUAAUACCACACCGUCUAAGGCUCAUAAGCCGCUGACUACUUUCUCAAAUAUACCCAAAAACACCACAUUCGAAAUACUUUACUCUGAAGAGACUUCCUGCGAAUCUAAAUCCGUCACCUUCACCUUCCCCUUCCUGAUGUUGAUGUGUAGAAUCCAUAAUGAUAUAGAAAUACCACAAGUCUUGACACCCUCCAAUGCCACCUCAGUUUCUAGCCAAAUAUACAACCCGAAAAUCUCCAAUUAUUCAAUGUAAGAUCUUGAACACAUUAGAACCAUUCUUGAAAGUCAUCGACUCUGCUCAAACUGCAAUUAGACUGAUCAAAUGAACCGAACAACCUAUGCCUCAUUAGCACUCUGACACCGCAGAAUGUAACCUCACCUCAAUGCAACCAAGCAACUUUUUUUCCUAUGUACGGAGCAUCCUUUACCAAUAACAACUCAAGACAUUCUGUGAUUCUCAUACACCUAUGAAGCAUAAUAUAACCUUUGUCAAAGUUUUCCUCUACUCUAGCUAUCCUCGGUCCCAAUCCCUGCAAGCCAUAACUAAUUCACCAGUACACCUCAAACUGGAACCAACAUAGCAUAUAACUGUGCAAUCACCUAAUCAAUAGCAGACUCCCCCACUUGGAUCAAAGCCAUAGAUCCAAACAUACAAUAACUCAUAAUAUGUAUACUCUAUCAUUGCCAUAAUACCAUAGUGAAAUUAAACUCAACCCUUCAUAAGCUCGUACAACACAAACCAUCUAGUACUUUAAAUCUUCUGCAAAUCUCGCAUUCGCCCUCGCAGUAGUCAAGCCCACUCUCUUAGGCGAUCCAAAUUCAAAUUGCAGCAUAUACAUUUCACUAGUAGAGGAGAUCUUCUAUCAAUCCACAUAAGGAUCACACAACUUCAGAACACUCCGCAGGAGAUAACCCACGUGCUUCGCCUCAAACUAACAUUUCUUUAUACCUUCCACCGUCAUAAACAUUACAUAGUCGCUUAAUCUUCUUGAGUCUGAACUCACAACACAACGUGAAAUCUACUUCACUUCCUAACUAGAAAACAUGAAAAAAUUCUUCACACACCCAUAACUCGGGGCUAUACCUCAAAUCAAUAUGGAAAUCAAACACCAAAUAGUUCUUCUAUCCUCCAGCAGACCCUUCUCGUCGCUUCCAAAUCAUAUGAAUACAUCGCAGUCAUAUCAUACUCAUAACAUAGCUACCCAGUCAUCACUCCCAUUAAUAGGGACACUAUCGGACAUACAAAUCCACAAGCACAUGCUCACACAAUCAACACCUCAGUGCUCAAGAUGUAGGCAAAAACCCGGCCUCAUGUCCUCUAGACUGGCCCCAUAUCAACACACAGAGAUCACGUCUCGCCCCUCGAUCAGGGAAUCACAAGUCAUCGAUGCAUAUCUGAUACGAAGCGCUUAUGCGCGCAUACGAACACGUGGAAGGGAUUCAAAGAGUUACAUUCCAAGCUGAAUCAAGGACGCGCGAUAAGAAUUUGAGAAGGCGAAAUUUUUCCUAAAGGUUCUGCAGCCUCCCGAGGAUAAGUACAGACGUCUCUGUACCGAUCCGCGAAACUCUACUAAACCUGCUCAUGACUCGUGAGACCUACGUAACCUAGGCUCUGAUACAAAAUUGUCACAACCCUAAACCCAGACCUGGUCGUGUUGUCACUUCUCAUGAAGACAAGGCCAGUCGACACAACACCCAAUUCAUUUUAAACGAUUCAAAUAGAACAAAUAAGUCAUUAACAUGAUUAAAUCUCAAUAGAAACAGUGAAAUAGUACAAUUUGCGAAAAAAACAACACAGCCCGACAUCGGGGGUCACCAGUCAUGAGCAUCUAUUAGAAGUUUACAAGUUUGGAAAGAGUUUGCACAUUAUAUUACAUAACUAGGGCAAAGGAAAUAAAAUAGGAGGGAGAGACACUGGGCUGCAAACGCCGAGCAGCUACCUAGUGGACUCCGAAUAGCUUGCUGAGCAAUCAACCCUCACUGGCGGAACCUGAAGCUCCUAAAUAUGCGCACAGGGUACAAGGAGUAAAGUGAAUACUCCUACUCAGUGAGUAAUAACAAUAAAUGAAGACUGAGCGAUAAAAAAUCACGUGAAAACACAACAACACGCUAUAAAGAAGCAGAGUAAAACCAGUAAAGUGCAAUAAAAUAGUGAAAUCUCAUAAAACACCUUAGUGUAUAAGCUUCUUUAAAAUACCUUUUUAACAGUUAAACAAGUAGAUAACAGGCAACUAGAAGAGAUAAAGACAUAAAAACCGCCCCUCGGGCACAAUACCAACAAAAUCAACCCCUCGGGCAACAACAUGGAACAACACCAGCCCAUCGGGCUAUAUCUCAUAUCACAAUGGGUACCCGCGCUUACUAGGGGUAUACAGACUCCGGGAGGGGCCCCUUACGGCCCAAGCGUAAUAUCAAUCCAUCUCGUGGCAUAAUCAAUAUGCUCUCGGCCUCAUAUCAAGCCACCUCAUGGCGUACAACUCAGGCCCUCGGCCUCAUAAUCAUAAAUCAAUAUGUCAUUGCUGCUGCGUGUAGCCCGACCCAAAAGUAUCCUCACAACACAGGCCCUCGGACUUACUCAGUCAUAAUCUCAUAAGCCACUCGGGCAACAGUAAAACAUGAUGCUCAGCCCAAAAUAUCAUUUGAAACAUCAUUUAAUGUAUUAAAACAGAGUAAACAUGACUGAGUUAUGAAAACAGUAGAAUAAAGCAUGACUGAGUACAAAUAUAAAGUCAAAACAAUGAGGAAUAGUAGUAAAGAUCCCUAAGGGUUCCAAAACAGUUGGCACGAGGCCCAAAUAUGGCAUUCAGCCCAAGACAUGAUGAUAACAAACAAUUUUUAAUCAAAUAUUCAGUAAAACAGUCAUUCGGGACGGACUAAGUCACAAUCUCCAACAUAGCACAACGAUGUGUAAUCCGGGGUUUCAUACCUUCAAGACAACAUUUACAAUCAUUACUCAACUCGAUUCGGUCUAAACUCUAGCCCGCGAUGCCUUUGCCCCUCGAAUCGACCUCAACUCGCGUCGAAUCUAACCAAAAUCAGAAUCACGACGUCAAAAUAUGCUAAGGGAACGAAGCCCUAUGCGAAAAUAAUCAAUUUACAACAUAAAUCCCGAAUUUAACCAAAACCCGACCCCCGGGUCCAUGUCUCGGAAUUCGAAAAAUUUACAUAAACAGAUUCCUCAUCUCCCCACGAGUUCAUACAUAUUAAAAGCCCCAAAAUCCGACCACAAAUGGACUCUCAAAUCCCCAAGUCAAGGUCACCAAUACCAAGCCCUAGUUUUCCAAAUUUUUAACCUUUAAUUUCCAUAAUUGCAAGCCUAAUCCGUGAAAUACUGCCAUAAAAUCGAUUAUUAGGUUCAAAAAUCUUACCUCCAGACAUUAUCCCUUGAAUCCCUCUUCAAAAUCUCCCAAAAAGCUUCAAAACCGACUUGAAAUGGUGGAGAACAACUCAAAAAUCACGAAGGAAUUGUUUUAUACCUUCUGGCCCAGGCUUUUCGCACCUGCGACCCAAAUCCCGCUCCUGCGGUCCCGCUUCUGCGGCCUAAUCAACCGCAUCUGUGGUUUUCACUUAAAUGGCCAUUUCCGCAUCUGCGGUUAGAAACCUCGCACAUGCGCUACCGCAGGUGCACCCCACUUUACCGCUUCUGCGGUUCCUGAUGCCCUUCUUCUUGGCCGCAUCUGCGGCUGCCUUCCGCUUCUGCGAGCAUCACACAUGCGGCGUCCCAACCGCAGGUGCGGUUAUGACAGUAACAAAAUGCUUCAGCUAUCCCAACUCAACUUCAAACCUUCCGCCAACCAUCCGAAAUCACCCCGAGGCCCCCGGGACCUCAACCAAAAGCAUAAACCAGUCAUAUACCACUACCCAAACUUAUACCAAUCUUCGAAACACCUCAAACAACAUCGAAUGCAUUAAAACACUUCGAGUUCAAGUCUAAGGUUCCAAAAUCUUUCGAAUUCCGCUUUUGAUCAAAAAAUCUACUAAACCACGUCCGAAUGACUUGAAAUCUUGCAUACACAUCCCAAAUGACACAACGGACCUUCUGCAACUCCCGGAAUUCCAUUCCGACCACUAUAUCAAAAUCUCACCUAUCAACACGAAAACGUCAAAAUUCCAAUUUCGCCAAUUCAAGCCUAAACCUUCCACGGACCUCCAAAAUAAAUUCCGAUCACGCUCCAAAGUUCCAAAUCGCCUAACGGAGCAAACCAAAUCAUAAAAAUUCCAAUCCGAGGUUAUCUACGAACAAGUCAAAUCUUGGUCAAACCUUUCAAAAUUUUAAGCUUCAAAUUGAGGACUGUUCUUCCAAAUUCAUUCCGAUUAUCCUGAAAUCCAAAACCGAUGAUUUACAUAAGUUAAUAUAUCACACGGGGCUAGUCAUGCCCGAGAACUGGCGAGCGGAGUGCAAAAACUCAAAAUGAUCGAUCGGGUCGUUACAACCUUAUUAUUCAUCCACCAAUUGGCAGAAAAUACAUGUAUAGGCCUUAGUAGUUGGAAAUCGAAACAAGACUUCGAUAUUAUAGUAGACUCUCUUUUACAGAGUUUUUUUAAUUAGAACAAAAAAUCUAAUGAGAAGAACAGUGAAAAUAAACUCACAUAUGUUGAUUUAGUAUUAAUUAAUUGGCCAGUAGGUUUAGAAACAAAUAAAAAAAACAGCAAUACGAAGGGAGAGACAUAAGAAACAAUUUUAUCUUUGAGCCUCUCUUGUUAUUAUUCAAUGUAUUUUUCCCAAGUUUGAAUUAGUUGGAAUUUAUUACAAUCACAUUACACGACACAAGUGAUUGGUAAUUGGUAUAAGGUUCUAAAUCUUCAUUUUGCUUGAGGUUGUAUACAUUUUUCUUAAAUUUUAUUAUUCUUGGCUUACUCUUUUUUUAUAAUCCUGACAUUUGGAUCAAUUUGUGUGUAUCUUAAUUAAUUGGAAAAAAUUAAAAAAUAGCCAGAUUUACAAGUUGUCAUUCAAAAAUAGUCAUAGUUUCAAAAGUAAUCAAAAUUUAGCCAUUUUUCAUGUAAAGAUAAAUCUAAACGAAAACAAUGUUCAAAAUCCGGGAAAAUACUCCAGUAUAAUAUGUCACACCUCCUUUUUACUACCCCCGGAAGGGGAUAUAAGGGAGUUUUUCUCAAUUUAAGUGACAAUCGAAACAGAAUUAUUUAUAUUAAAAUCAGAGUUGCCACUUGGGAUAGUUUAUUGGUGUCCCAAGUCACCGGUUUAAAAUCUCAAAUCGAGGAAAGUUUGACUCUAAUUAUGGUCUGCGGACACAGAAAUUUAGGUAAGGAAUUCUGUUAACCCAGGAGAAGGUGUUAGGCAUUCCCGGGUUCCGUGGUUUUAACACAGUUGCUUAACUAUUAAUAUUGGCCCAAUUAUCUGAUGUAAUUACACAUUUUAAACCUAUGUGCACUUUUUAACUUUCUAACCGCUUUUAAUAUUUUUAGGAAAAUUCAAGGUUAUUUAAAACACAUCGUAAGCCACGCUACAUGAAAUGCACCCGCGGUUCACGACAGGUUUUAUUUAACAUUGUUGAAAAUUGGAGCCAGGUCACAUGAAAUGUACACCCGGAUUUUAGCAAUCACAAAUCACAACUACGUCACGAGAACCGUACCCAUAGUCACGACGAUUAUUUACACGUCGAAAGCAAAGCUGCAAAUGUUUAUGAAUACUGCUGACCUAAGCAUGCUCUUAAUGGGUUGUAACACGAAAUAUAAUAAUGAAUCAAAGUGAUUUGAGUAAACUUUAACUCUGAUAAUGACGAUUAAAGAGAAAUAUGAAACCCCUGAAGCUCAAACAUAUUAACUCUAAAUUCUACAAAAUAAUCUACGAGACUUACGAGGCAAACACAAUUAAUGUCUAUUAUAUAUAUGGCUAAACUAAUAUUUUAUACCCUAAUACCAAUUCACACCAAACUAUUGAUAAUGAAACCUUUAACAUCUUAAUUAAAGAGUAUAACAUGGAAUUUAAAGACUUCCUAUCCAUUAAGCUAACAAAAACUCAAUAUGAGCUGACAACAUACAUGAAAUAAAAUAGCAAAUACUAACAUAUCCGCAAAUCAAAACGAUAAAAGCAUUAAUCCAAACAGUUCAUAAAACAGAGAGUAACAAAUUGACAGAAGUACACUAUUAAGCCAAACGGAAUAUGAGAAAAUGAGGAACCAAACCUCAAAAUGGAUCAGAACAUUAAUUGUGAGGUAACGUUAACGCUUUGUUUGCUCCGGCAUAGCGGUGGCUGGAGAUUGAACACUACUGCCACUGAACACUGUGAAAUCUAGCUGCCUAGCCAGCUUCUUUGCCGAUAAAUCCACUGCCACCUACGGUUGCACCAUUGUAGCUGCAGCAACGGAAAUAGCCACCUCCGAUUGAACCUUGUUAGGAGGAAAUGAAAUCCCCUCUAUGACUAUUCUCCAUUCAAACACAAUAAAAUCUCACUAAACACCCCAAAAUUAAAAAAAAUAAAUCUCAUAAAUUCACUGAUUACCCAUUGCUAAUACCACGAUAAUUCCACAACAUUCAACCAAUAUAACGAGAAACUGCUCUUGAGUAUUACAUAAGCCGAACAAGACGCCUUUUCAAUUUUCAAACCUAUUUCUAAUUUGAAUUCGGAUGAUGAACCGUUACUUCUAUUACACAGAAAUUACUACUACUA
RNAcentral lists this long non-coding RNA (10500 nucleotides) under Nicotiana tabacum (common tobacco). RNAcentral describes it as "long non-coding RNA (NTAB_LNC002662)". The record is from RNAcentral. Lineage: Eukaryota; Viridiplantae; Streptophyta; Magnoliopsida; Solanales; Solanaceae.